ACUUCAGGUAGAAUUCAUGAAAUCUUUGCCACCUUUAUUGACGCUUUAUACCCAACUCAGCCUACUUUCGCGGCAAAAGAAUCUCUUAAACAAAAACUGACAAACCCUAAUUCUUCGACUACAAUCCCUAAUUCUGAAUAAUCCUCUUCCAAUUUCCAGAAAUUCCUGCCACUAAACCUCAGCGAUGUCGCACGAUUUAAUGCUGAAUGCCCUGAGGCUAACAUCUGGAUCAAACAAUUACGGUGGUACAUCUACUUCAGGCAUUCCUGCUUCAGCUACAACACCAUCGUCUAUGGAGGCUAGUACAUCUACUUCAGGCACGCUUGCUCAGGGCCCUAAAGAUCUUAGAAGAGGAAAUUGGAGCUAUAUUGUUGCAAUAUGGACCUGUAACCACUAGGGAUCUUGUGGGUGCAUUCAAAGAAAGAUUAAAGACACAACAGGAUUUAAUAGCAUUUGCUUACAUUUUGAAAAGGAUCUCCAGGUUGCUGAAGAUCGAUAACAAGAAUUAUGUUGUGCUAAAGGAAUGGGGCAAUAUAAGUAUAUAACCUGAUUAUUGUCUACUUUAAUCCAGCCAAAAAAAAAAAAAAAAAAAAAAAGAGAGAGAGAGAGAGAGAGAGAGAGACACGCUAUUGUUUAGAUUUGUGAACAACUUUUUUCCAUGGUAUCAAGAGAAAUGUAAAGAUGUAGAAUUCAUAUGCUGCCUAAACUCGUCAUACAGAUAAUGUUUGAUUAACAUCAGUGUGAAAAUAUCGUCUACAACUUACAAGACUACAAGGGGAUUGAUUUUUUCCAGAGCACAGAAAUCGAACGAACUCAGUUUAAAGAGUUUGCUGAGAUUAUCGGUUUCAUAAAAGAGUGCAACCUAAUGUUCUCAGGAGAAACUGUGGAUAUUGUUUUUUUGGGCGUGAAUGGUGAUCAUCAACUUUCAUAUAUAAACAAUCAUGUGAAGAGAUAAUCUGAACUAUUGUACAUUUUUUUUCAACAACUUUUUUCAGUUUUUUACCGCUAAGAGAGUUGCAAAGAAUAAAUGAUACCUACGGUAUGUGAUACGGAGUAUAAGGUCUCAACUCCAAUCCCACAUCUCAAGAUGUUAUGAGUAAGGUUCUCUUCUCUUCAGCUUA
Chenopodium quinoa (quinoa) is the source of this 1121-nucleotide long non-coding RNA. RefSeq lists it as uncharacterized. Lineage: Eukaryota; Viridiplantae; Streptophyta; Magnoliopsida; Caryophyllales; Amaranthaceae. The record is from RefSeq and is a predicted model, not a curated record. The transcript is spliced from 3 exons.